RNAcentral lists this unclassified non-coding RNA (474 nucleotides) under Odontites maroccanus. RNAcentral's name for it is "partial external transcribed spacer". Lineage: Eukaryota; Viridiplantae; Streptophyta; Magnoliopsida; Lamiales; Orobanchaceae. The record is from RNAcentral.
GCAUAUGACUACUGGCAGGAUCAACCAGGUAGCAUUCCUCAUUUGACAUCAACAACGCAUGAGACCAUCCGUAAGGAUUCGUUCAACACGUGCAUGAUUGUCAUUCGCACGAAGCGUGGRACGCUGGAUUUGGGGCAAACCAAGGUUGAAGUGACCUUGUACCCGCUCAAUGUUCCGUACCCGAGAUACCACGCACAACAUCAUGGUUCAACAAUCCAAGCACAGCUAAGUGGCAUGAGAAGUGAAACACAGUGAGUGCUACAAAGUCCACCAAACGCUGCAUCCCAAAGAAGGGUUCAACGCUAGAUGGAUGGCCRAAUAUUCCAACAAAGCAAUGCCCUCAAAUUAGGAACUCAACACAGGAAACCAAAACGAUCAAGACAUGCUUAAUCCGACAACUGAAAAGGGAUGCACAACACACUGUCGCUGCUCAAGCAGGGAUCCAACGUGUCAAUGCAAACCAAACACCACUCA